GAGAUCAACAAGGUCAUGAGCAGAUAUACUAAAUACAGUAGCAAUAAACUGAAAGGAAGCAGAAAUAAUAACAGAAUAUAUAACUACCGCUACUGUAACAUACCAGAUUUUGGUAUAAAAAUAAAAAUAAAUAAAAAUAGUGUGAAAUACUAUUUUUAUUGGAUUUAGAGAAAUAAAAUAUAAGUCAAAAAUGACUUGUGCUGAAAUCGGAACGAAAAUAGAAGAUUUAGAAUUUUCUGUUGGAAACGGGGUUGAUAUUUUAGCAGAAAAUGCACAGUAUCAGAAAAUUACGAAAACUAGAGAAUAUGUCAAAAUUAUUUUUAUGAGGUUAGAUUUAAAGUUUCAUGUCAUUUCUGAUAUCCGGAAGGUGAAAAAUAAAAUCCGACUGCUAUGUGCUAGAGAUUACAGUUCGGUAGAGCUUUCGGUGACCAAACGUGGUCAAAACUGAAAACUUAAGAUAUAUUCUUUCUU
This 471-nucleotide long non-coding RNA is filed under the name Ananas comosus (pineapple). RNAcentral describes it as "long non-coding RNA (ACOM_LNC033340)". The record is from RNAcentral. Lineage: Eukaryota; Viridiplantae; Streptophyta; Magnoliopsida; Poales; Bromeliaceae.